Molecule: non-coding RNA, 927 nt
Organism: Drosophila virilis
Lineage: Eukaryota; Metazoa; Arthropoda; Insecta; Diptera; Drosophilidae
Source: RefSeq, a predicted model, not a curated record
AGAUAAGCGGCACACUUUUGAAUCAAGUAUAUUGAGUUCAUGUCAGAACAAUCAGAGCGUAAACAAAAUAUGCGAAUAAUACCCAAUUACGUGUUUCGCUAAUGAGACAAUGUACCUUACCAAGAAAAAUGUCAAACAAUAUCAUUAAAAUCAAACGUAAAAACUGUGCACGCGCAACUUAUUUAUAAACAUGCUUGGAAUAUUUACUAUGUAAAAAGUCGAGGAAUUGCAACUGGAUGCAAACAAUGUGCUGUCAGCUAAAUAAAAACUAAAAACAAAAUAGCAGCAACAACUUGCGAGUUAGAAAAACUUUUCACGGACCUAUCCCAAUGCUCAGCAUAGAGAAACAAAAAUAAAAAAUCGAGAAAACGUGCAAAGAAUGAUAUGCAAGCGAUCAACGACUGCGAUAUACCCGAUAUGUAAAGUUUUAGUCGCCCGAGGCGUGUGCAAACGUGUGGAAGCCAAAGAAAAUUGUGGAAAAGCCCAAGGAAAACGGGAGAAAAACCCCAGCAUACUUACAUUAAAAUUUGGCUGUCAUAAUCAACACACGUAUUAAAUUCUGGAAAUUGGCAAACUCAUAAAUGUGCAAUUAAACAAAUUUCGAAGGAAAUGAGCGCAAUUUUCAAAUCGUUUUCAUUGUGCAAUGCGUGAAAAUUGAUUAUAUAAGAGACGCAUUAAAGGAAAACUCAGUGGAAAGCAUUUCCGCAAAGUCAAUGGCCAGCGGAAAGUGAAAAGCCGGCAAAACACAGGAAAAUUUAAAGAAAACUCAAUUUCGCACGGGUUAAUUUUUUUUGGCAGCUGAAUUUUGACAGGCAAAAAGCAAAGUAAAAGCAAAAGCAAAAGCAAAAGCAAAGUAAAAGCAAAAGCAAAAACUAUUGCAACAAAUUGUAUAAAAAGCCAGACAAAGAGCGCAGAUAACAAGAGACA